This 127-nucleotide ribosomal RNA is filed under the name Escherichia coli. RNAcentral's name for it is "partial 23S ribosomal RNA". It matches the Rfam family "Bacterial large subunit ribosomal RNA", at positions 2815 to 2925 of the family's 2925-position model. The record is from RNAcentral. Lineage: Bacteria; Pseudomonadati; Pseudomonadota; Gammaproteobacteria; Enterobacterales; Enterobacteriaceae.
UGACCCUUUAAGAGUCCUGAAGGAACGUUGAAGACGACGACGUUGAUAGGCCGGGUGUGUAAGCGCAGCGAUGCGUUGAGCUAACCGGUACUAAUGAACCGUGAGGCUUAACCUUACAACGCCGAAG